UACGUAGGGUGCAAGCGUUGUCCGGAAUUAUUGGGCGUAAAGAGCUCGUAGGCGGUCUGUCGCGUCUGCUGUGAAAACUCGGGGCUUAACCCCGGGCCUGCAGUGGGUACGGGCAGACUAGAGUGCGGUAGGGGAGACUGGAAUUCCUGGUGUAGCGGUGAAAUGCGCAGAUAUCAGGAGGAACACCGGUGGCGAAGGCGGGUCUCUGGGCCGUAACUGACGCUGAGGCACGAAAGCGUGGGGAGCGAACAGG
This 253-nucleotide ribosomal RNA is filed under the name uncultured bacterium. Its description in RNAcentral is "partial 16S ribosomal RNA". It matches the Rfam family "Bacterial small subunit ribosomal RNA", at positions 524 to 776 of the family's 1533-position model. The record is from RNAcentral.